AUAGUAGUAGUUUAAUUUAAAAAUACAAAGUUGCAAACUUUGGGCUUGCUUUGCACUAUUAUU
This 63-nucleotide transfer RNA is filed under the name Cornu aspersum (brown garden snail). Its description in RNAcentral is "Helix aspersa (brown garden snail) tRNA-Cys". Lineage: Eukaryota; Metazoa; Mollusca; Gastropoda; Stylommatophora; Helicidae. The record is from RNAcentral.